GCAAAGUUGACUAAAUUUUAUAUUUCUUGUCCUCUAAAUAUUUUGAUAAUUUCUGGAUUGAUGCAGUGAUGUUUUUGUUCCUUCUGUAUUUAUAAAUGAAACACCUUUUUUUAGUGUUUCUAAACCUAAAAUCUACUUGGUUUGAAGUCAAGUGGUUGGAACACUGUUUGACUUUUAUUUGAAGCAUGUUGUUGAUUGAAAAUUUCAUUGAGGAAGUUUUCAAUCAGUGUGAUCAGUUUGAUUCUGUAAUGAGCACAGCACCUAAUAUUUUGAGGAGCUCUGUUUUGAGGACCAAUGCUUAACGUGGA
RNAcentral lists this long non-coding RNA (308 nucleotides) under Homo sapiens (human). RNAcentral's name for it is "LHRI_LNC1778.1". The record is from RNAcentral. Lineage: Eukaryota; Metazoa; Chordata; Mammalia; Primates; Hominidae.